AGAGAUUCUCCAACCAAGUUUCUUUUAUUUUGCCAAAGGCUAGCAAGGAUAGGGUACGUUACCCUAAGCCUCAACGGGGAAAAAGUAGUAGUUCACCAAGUGUGAAACCUAAUUGUGCCAAAUAUUUCAAGAAGCAUAUGGGUAAAUGUCUUGUGGGUAUGAACAAUUGUUUUCGUUGGGGAGAAGUGGUCAUAUGGUGAGGUAUUGUCCCAUGAGCAAGAAUCAAGAUAGGGAGAGUAACCAAGCACAAGCAAGUUAUUCUAAUCCCGGUGCUCCUAACACUACAAACAAGCACAUAUUUUUUGGAGGUUUUAUUAGGGAGGUCAAUUCAACCCCCUGUAAUUUGGUUAAAUUAUAGAGGAUUAAUUAACCCCUGGAAUUUUGAUACAACUACCAGGGGUUUGUCAACCUUAGCUAUCCUUAAUAUUUAAAUUUUAUAACAUCACAGAGCUACUUUAAACCUCAUUUUUUUCCGGAGCAACAAAAAAUCUAACUAUCUCACAUUAUUAUACUGAACUCAUCGAGUAUUAUCAGCCAAAAUUGCUUUGAACUCCAUCUGUUCUAUAUGGUGGCGGAGCUACCUACCACCGUCUUCCUGCUCAAUAGAGUGGUCGGAGCAAGAAUGAAGAUAUGAGGUGGCGAUGAGGAUUGUUUGUACGAAAAGGCUCUGAUUGGUAAAUCAAAUGUUCCUUUCGAGAUUUGUGUCCUCCAGCAUUAUCGUCAGAUUGUGUCGAAGUUCAACUUUAAUCUGGUAUGUGUUUGUUGGGUCCUUGAUUUCCCUGAAGUGAUGGAAUCUGUCUACAGUAUCCGUUUAGCAUUUAGUUUUUCUUCGUGUUUAUAACUUUUACUUUCUGAGACAAAAUAUUAAUAGUGGCUUCUAAUCAAAUGAUUGGACUGAAAUCAAGUCCUUAGUUUAACUAUCAACAUUUGUGGAUUUUCUUCAAUGUUUUAUCCUCAUCUGUUUUUUUUAGAAGUUAUUUUUUAAGUUGUUAAUUUGUACUCCACUUUGUUUUAGAAUUGAUUGAUGAUGUUAAGACUUAACCACUCAAGGUUCAAUAAUCUACAUGCAACUACUUAUAGGAAGUGGGGCUCUGUCUCUCAGAAAGACAUUGUUUUGGCUUAUAUUUAAUAGUUAGAGAGGAAAACUUCAGACACCAAGGACGUGAAUUAGUGCUCAAUGAAACAUUGGGUGAUUUCUUCGUGUAGACACUAAGAUCACUCUCUGCAAACUGGUGCACAAUAACAAUGGUAUGAGGCCAUGAUAAGUUUUAUGAACAAACCUAGGAUCUUGGUUUGUAUGUUUGAGUUUUAUGCUUGAGAAAGACAAAGUAACUGACAUCUGUUUGAUAUUUAUCAUCGUAUAUAACUGGAUGUAAGUCUAAUUUUUAGCACUUCCUUGAAACAACUCCUUAGUUAUGUCUUUCCCAGCAGUGUUUCUUCAAUAAUGGCUCUGUUACAACUCGUAUGGAUAAGAUUGUCUAGGGAGCAAGAAUAAAGUCAAACUAUAGUAUAAUAUAUAUAAAAAGUUCAGAAUAACAUAUGCAUGUCGGCUUGUACUCUAGCAGGUCCAGCAUGUUGAUCGUUUUCAGUAUUUCCUUUACAAGCAAAAGUUACUUGUGUGUGCAGCAGCACUUUAUGCUAAAAUACCUAUUCUCGAUGUGUACUCUUAUUCUACAGAUACUAUAUGCUCCGUCACUCAAAUGAGAAUAAUUAUGUACUUACAGUUUUCGGCAUACAGAAUGAAGCAGUAAGCACUACUUUAUAAUGUUUAAUUGUUUCUUGGUACAUUUAUCCAUUAGGAAGUUGAUACUUCAAGGACAAAAAGAAACAAAAUGGAAAAGAAUUGAAAAAUGACGCAAGAACUAAAUUUUCACAUCAUUACUUAACAAACUACUCUUCUUGACAGAGUAAACAAGGAGAUCAAGUCACACUAUUGGACCCCAUUUGCAAAUUUGUUUAUAUUGAAUUUGAAGACAGUACAAACUAGGGUACACUUAUUAGCUAUGUUAUCAAAUACAUGAAGAGGAUCUUGUGCAUAAAUUCCCCUUCGUUUCGAUUUGUUUGUGUUGCUUUCUUUCUUUAGCCCGUUUAGAAACUGUCUUCUUUGACCCUAUUUUUUUAUUUUAGAGUGAAAUGAACCAGCAGCUUGGAGACUUCUGGCCUUGAUGUUCUCAGGGAUUUAGUUCUCUACCUUAUCAAGGAAAUUUUAUUGCUCAAGGUGUUUAGACUUCUGGCCUUUAAGUUUGCAUAUAAAAGUUAGUUGCUUUUAUGAUUAGAAUCUUGAUAUCUACCUAUAACACUAAUAUACUUGCGACUUCUUGGUUUCGUAUUUCAAACUUAUGCUCGUGUUCAAUCCAGAGCAAUUUUAAAACAUGUAGUGUGAUCUUGUUCUUUCAAGUAUACUUGUUUCUAUUCUACCUGAUUCAAACAUUCAAUUCAUUACCUUUCUAAUGACAAUUAGCAGAGUCCGAAGGACCGGACAGACCAGCAGGUUAGAAGCUGAAGGUCAGAACUAAAAUAAGGGUUACUUUGCACUUUCCUCUAUUCAAAUUCGAUACUUAGUUGUGCUAAACACGAGGGCUUUUCUUUUUCUUAUCUAUCUUUGGCCUAUUUUACUAUUGUCUUAUUCUAAACUUGAAGUAGUUGUUGUCUCUCUUGUUCUUGGUCUCUGUGUUGUGUUACUUCCUUAAGAUGUAAUAUUGGGGAUAUCCAAAAGUCAGGUAAACUGGAAUCUUUUUUCAGCAGGCCAAGGAUUGAGCAGUGCUUAUUCUUAAGUUGCUAUUUUUUUUAUAUGUUUUUUGGUUCAUUUGUUAAUUAGAACUGAAGUAGCAAGAAGAAAAAGAUGUAGGCUUUUCAUUUUUCAUCAGGCCAAGCUAUGUGACCAGUGAGUUUUCUUUUGCUCGUUCUUUCUCGACUGGUAAUCAACUGUGUUGUGAAACUACUAUUUAAUAAUGUUACGAGGUGGUAGCCAUGUGUGGUAAAAGGCGGUGCUUACACUGUAACCUUAAUGUCAGUCUCAUCUACAACUUCAUCCAACUUUCUUUUGAUCUUGAAGUUCUGAUCAUAUUUCAUCUCCUAAUUGGCUCCAUUCUCAAGAAUUGGGGCUUGUGUUGUUCCAACUCAGGUGCCAAUUAAGGAGGUGAGAAUUUCUCCACUCUCAAAGAGUAUCGGAAAGCCAAGGGUUCAAAGCAAACUAGUGGCAACAAACUGCAUUUGCUUCGCCAUUGGACUAUGGAGGAUGUGUAUGUAUUUCCCCAAAGAAAUGUUUUCUCCAUAAGCUCAUUUGCAGUUACUCAUAAUGGAGAUAAUCAAAGUAAUGAAACUGCUGGAAGUGGUGAUUCCUUGAAUGAACAGGAGUAUAGACAUACUAUUGAACUUGAAGAUGAUGAUAGAAAGGUUGAAGAAGUUUUGGAAUAUCUAAAACAAAUGGAGAAUGACGCUAAACUGAAGCAUCUGGCAGAGCAAACUUAGAGAACUGCAAAAACAUGUCAAGGAGUAUUGAUGCAGUUAUGAAGACUAAUACUUGCUAAAAGUGCAGUGAUGAGCAAUUCAAGAGUAGUAAGAAGGUCAAUACUCUUAUGCUUGGAUUCUCAUAGUUCUGUGAGAGCCAUUCUGUUCUAUAUUUUGUACAAGGGAAGUCAUAAAAUGUUGAUGGUGUUGCGUACUAGGUUCUUAGUCAAUGAAGAAAUUUGUAUCUCUUUCCAGAAGCAUACCAGGCAAGUGGAGACUCAAUCUCAACAUCCUUAAUAUGUGCAAAUAAACGAAAAACUCCGCUAUACUAAUUUGCUUGCCCGAAGGGAGGAUAUAAUCUUAUCUUUCUUAGGCUUGUA
Solanum lycopersicum (tomato) is the source of this 3830-nucleotide RNA transcript. RefSeq lists it as uncharacterized. NCBI's taxonomy places the organism in Eukaryota, Viridiplantae, Streptophyta, Magnoliopsida, Solanales, Solanaceae. The record is from RefSeq and is a predicted model, not a curated record.